AGGGGUUCUGAGAGGAAGGUCCCCCACACUGGAARUGAGACACGGUCCAGMCUCCUCCGGGAGGCAGCAGUGAGGAAUAUUGGUCAAUGGUCGGAAGACUGAACCAACCUAGUWGCGUGAAGCACGCAAUUCAAUGGAUUGUAAACUUCUUUUAUACGGGSUUAAAACCCACUACGUGUAGUGGUUUGUGUGUACCGUAUGKAUAAGCAUCGGCUAACUCCGUGCCAGCAGCCGCGGUAAUACGGAGGAUGCGAGCGUUAUCCGRAUUUAUUGGGUUUAAAGGGAGCGUAGMCGGGAUGUUAAGUCAGCUGKGAAAGUUUGGGGCUCAACCUUAAAAUUGCAGUUGAUACUGGCGUCCUUGAGKGCGGUUGAGGUAUGUGGAAUUCGUGGUGUASCGGUGAAAUGCUUAGAUAUCACGAAGAACUCCGAUUGCGAAGGCAGCAUACUAAGCCGCUACUGCGUU
RNAcentral lists this ribosomal RNA (463 nucleotides) under uncultured Bacteroidaceae bacterium. RNAcentral describes it as "partial 16S ribosomal RNA". It matches the Rfam family "Bacterial small subunit ribosomal RNA", at positions 285 to 747 of the family's 1533-position model. The record is from RNAcentral. Lineage: Bacteria; Pseudomonadati; Bacteroidota; Bacteroidia; Bacteroidales; Bacteroidaceae.